This 449-nucleotide ribosomal RNA is filed under the name uncultured bacterium. Its description in RNAcentral is "partial 16S ribosomal RNA". It matches the Rfam family "Bacterial small subunit ribosomal RNA", at positions 29 to 523 of the family's 1533-position model. The record is from RNAcentral.
AACGAACGCUGGCGGCAUGCCUAACACAUGCAAGUCGAACGAGAUCUUCGGGUCUAGUGGCGCACGGGUGCGUAACGCGUGGGAAUCUGCCCUUUGGUUCGGAAUAACAGUUGGAAACGACUGCUAAUACCGGAUGAUGACGAAAGUCCAAAGAUUUAUCGCCAGAGGAUGAGCCCGCGUAGGAUUAGCUAGUUGGUGUGGUAAAGGCGCACCAAGGCGACGAUCCUUAGCUGGUCUGAGAGGAUGAUCAGCCACACUGGGACUGAGACACGGACCAGACUACUACGGGAGGAAGCAGUGGGGAAUAUUGGACAAUGGGCGAAAGCCUGAUCCAGCAAUGCCGCGUGAGUGAUGAAGGCCUUAGGGUUGUAAAGCUCUUUUACCCGGGAUGAUAAUGACAGUACCGGGAGAAUAAGCUCCGGCUAACUCCGUGCCAGCCGCCGCGGUAA